This 98-nucleotide signal recognition particle RNA is filed under the name Buchnera aphidicola (Melanaphis sacchari). RNAcentral's name for it is "signal recognition particle sRNA small type". It matches the Rfam family "Bacterial small signal recognition particle RNA". Rfam says of the family: The signal recognition particle (SRP) is a universally conserved ribonucleoprotein involved in the co-translational targeting of proteins to membranes. Archaeal SRP consists of a 7S RNA and homologues of the eukaryotic SRP19 and SRP54 proteins. The record is from RNAcentral. Lineage: Bacteria; Pseudomonadati; Pseudomonadota; Gammaproteobacteria; Enterobacterales; Erwiniaceae.
UGUUAGAUACCCUAUUGCUGUUAAGUUGAACAACUAGUCAGGUCUGGAAAGAAGCAGCUAAAUCAAUCUAUGCAGGCUUUUGGACAUAGCUAACAGAA